GGAGUCUGGCCCGUAUUCCAGUGCCAGUGUGGCGGAUCAUCCUCUCAGACCCGCUAACCAUCGUCGCCUAGGUAGGCCAUUACCCCACCUACCAGCUAAUGGUACGCAGACCCCUCUUCAUACAGUAGCUUACAUGUAGAGGCCACCUUUCCUCGCCUUGCCUAUGAAAUGCGAGCGUAUCCGGUAUUAGUACCCCUUUCGGCGUGUUAUCCCGAAUAUGAAGACAGGUUAUCUACGCGUUACUCACCCGUGCGCCACUCUACUCACGGCCGAAGCCGCUUUCGCGUUCGACUUGCAUGUGUUAAGCACGCCGCCAGCGUUCGUU
This 325-nucleotide ribosomal RNA is filed under the name uncultured Desulfobulbus sp. Its description in RNAcentral is "partial 16S ribosomal RNA". Lineage: Bacteria; Pseudomonadati; Thermodesulfobacteriota; Desulfobulbia; Desulfobulbales; Desulfobulbaceae. The record is from RNAcentral.